This 483-nucleotide ribosomal RNA is filed under the name uncultured bacterium. Its description in RNAcentral is "partial 16S ribosomal RNA". It matches the Rfam family "Bacterial small subunit ribosomal RNA", at positions 28 to 523 of the family's 1533-position model. The record is from RNAcentral.
GACGAACGCUGGCGGCGUGCUUAACACAUGCAAGUCGAACGGUGAAAGCGGAGCUUGCUCCGCUGGAUCAGUGGCGAACGGGUGAGUAACACGUGGGCAACCUGCCCUUCACUUCGGGAUAACUCCGGGAAACCGGGGCUAAUACCGGAUAUGACCUCUGCGGGCAUCCGCGGAGGUGGAAAGUUUUUCGGUGAAGGAUGGGCCCGCGGCCUAUCAGCUUGUUGGUGGGGUAGUGGCUCACCAAGGCGACGACGGGUAGCCGGCCUGAGAGGGCGACCGGCCACCCUGGGACUGAGAUACGGCCCAGACGCCUACGGGAGGAAGCAGUGGGGAAUAUUGCACAAUGGGCGCAAGCCUGAUGCAGCGACGCCGCGUGAGGGAUGACGGCCUUCGGGUUGUAAACCUCUUUCAGCACCGACGAAGCGCAAGUGACGGUAGGUGCAGAAGAAGGACCGGCCAACUACGUGCCAGCCGCCGCCGUAA